Molecule: ribosomal RNA, 377 nt
Filed under: uncultured bacterium
Lineage: Bacteria
Description: partial 16S ribosomal RNA
Rfam family: Bacterial small subunit ribosomal RNA
Source: RNAcentral
CCUACGGGUGGCAGCAGUGGGGAAUAUUGCACAAUGGGGGAAACCCUGAUGCAGCGACGCCGCGUGAGUGAAGAAGGAUUUCGGUAUGUAAAGCUCUAUCAACAGGGAAGAAAAUGACGGUAUCUAACUAAGAAGCUCCGGCUAACUACGUGCAAGCAGCCGCGGUAAUACGUAGGAGGCAAGCGUUAUCCGGAUUUACUGGGUGUAAAGGGAGCGUAGACGGCAGAGAAAGUCUGAAGUGAAAGCCCGCGGCCCAACCGCGUGAUUGCUUUGGAAACGGCACGUCUAGAGUGCUGGAGAGGUAAGCGGAAUUCCUGGUGUAGCGGUGAAAUGCGUAGAUAUUAGGAGGAACACCAGUUGCGAAGGCGGCUUACUGG